GACGAACGCUGGCGGCAUGCCUAACACAUGCAAGUCGAACGGAGAUUAUUUCGGUAAUCUUAGUGGCGAACGGGUGAGUAACGCGUAGGCAACCUGCCCUUUAGUUGGGGACAACAUUCCGAAAGGGGUGCUAAUACCGAAUGUGACAGUUUUUCCGCAUGGGAUUACUGUGAAAGAUGGCCUCUAUUUAUAAGCUAUCGCUAAAGGAUGGGCCUGCGUCUGAUUAGCUAGUUGGUGGGGUAACGGCCUACCAAGGCGACGAUCAGUAGCCGGUCUGAGAGGAUGAACGGCCACAUUGGAACUGAGACACGGUCCAGACUCCUACGGGAGGCAGCAGUGGGGAAUCUUCCGCAAUGGGCGAAAGCCUGACGGAGCAACGCCGCGUGAGUGAAGAAGGCC
RNAcentral lists this ribosomal RNA (399 nucleotides) under uncultured bacterium. RNAcentral describes it as "bacterial SSU rRNA". It matches the Rfam family "Bacterial small subunit ribosomal RNA", at positions 28 to 416 of the family's 1533-position model. The record is from RNAcentral.